CGCGAGUUCACUACGGGUUUGAAAGAUUUCCUCGUAGUGGCUAAUGCGAACAAGCAAAAGGGUUUUGUUAUCUGUCCAUGUGUUGACUGUAAGAAUCAGAAGGGUUACUCUUCCUCAAGAGAAGUUCACCUGCACCUGCUUCGGCACGGUUUCAUGCCAAGCUAUAAUUGUUGGACCAAGCAUGGAGAAAGAGGGGUUAUAAUGGAAGAAGAUGAAGAAGGGGAUGAUUUCAUCGAUGAAAGCUAUCUUGCUCAUUUCGGUGAUACUUUCAUGGAGGAUGCUGAAGGUGAAGGGGAAGGUGAAGGGGAAGGUGAAGGUGAAGAAGAGGCAUGUGAUGAGACCGUUGAUGAUCUUGGUCGGACCAUUGCUGAUGCACGGAGACGCUGCGAAACUGAAAAGGAGAGGGAGAAUUUGGAUCGCAUGUUAGAG
This 429-nucleotide ribosomal RNA is filed under the name Triticum aestivum (bread wheat). RNAcentral describes it as "partial small subunit ribosomal RNA". Lineage: Eukaryota; Viridiplantae; Streptophyta; Magnoliopsida; Poales; Poaceae. The record is from RNAcentral.